RNAcentral lists this ribosomal RNA (494 nucleotides) under uncultured bacterium. RNAcentral describes it as "partial 16S ribosomal RNA". It matches the Rfam family "Bacterial small subunit ribosomal RNA", at positions 28 to 507 of the family's 1533-position model. The record is from RNAcentral.
GACGAACGCUGACGGCGUGCUUAACACAUGCAAGUCGAACGGUGAAGCGCCUUCCUUUUUGGUGGGUGUGGAUGAGUGGCGAACGGGUGAGUAACACGUGAGUAACCUGCCCCCUUCUUCUGGAUAACCGCAUGAAAGUGUGGCUAAUACGGGAUAUUCUGGGCCUGUCGCAUGAUGGGUCUGGGAAAGAUAUUGUUUCGGUGGGGGAUGGGCUCGCGGCCUAUCAGCUUGUUGGUGGGGUGAUGGCCUACCAAGGCGGUGACGGGUAGCCGGCCUGAGAGGGUGGACGGUCACACUGGGACUGAGACACGGCCCAGACUCCUACGGGAGGCAGCAAUGGGGAAUAUUGCACGAUGGGCGCAAGCCUGAUGCAGCGACGCCGCGUGAGGGAUGGAGGCCUGCGGGUUGUGAACCGCUUUCGCCAGUGAAGCAGGCCUGCCUCGUUUGUGGGUGGGUUGACGGUAGCUGGAUAAGAAGCGCCGGCUAACUACGUG